Molecule: long non-coding RNA, 481 nt
Organism: Tupaia belangeri chinensis (Chinese tree shrew)
Lineage: Eukaryota; Metazoa; Chordata; Mammalia; Scandentia; Tupaiidae
Exons: 4
Source: RefSeq, a predicted model, not a curated record
CGCGCGGCGGGGGCGCAGGGGGAUGGGCGGCGCAUUUGGAGUUAAAUGGUCCCACCAGAGGGAGUAAGUCAUAUUUUGAAGUGCUCCAGGCUCUGUGGCUUUCGUGGCAAACAUGAAAGCUCUGAUCUCUCGAAGCCUUAAAUGAACAUCGCCUCCAUGGCAGACAUGCAGGCAGGCGUUCGGCGGCCGUUUAGGACCUGAACGGGGGAGUGCUGUGGAGGAAUUUAUUCCAGGUUACUCCAGGUAUAAAACACAGGAACCAAUUCAAGAGGUCACCUCAUCAGCUACUCUCCUUCAAUCAGGGGCUAAAUUCAAUCGGAAAGAUCUGAGAACCUCCCCCUACUUUGUGGGAUCCAUUAGUAACCACAUUUCUUUUUAAGAAGUUCCAGAAGGCACCCAAUAUUGGUAAAUCAUCCUUGUAGUCAGCUGCCUUCGCUGGAGUGGGAGCGGGUGUGGGGUGGACCCUUUACAGAUGGUCCCA